Molecule: transfer RNA, 84 nt
Filed under: Galerina marginata CBS 339.88
Lineage: Eukaryota; Fungi; Basidiomycota; Agaricomycetes; Agaricales; Galerinaceae
Description: tRNA-Glu
Rfam family: tRNA
About the family: Transfer RNA (tRNA) molecules are approximately 80 nucleotides in length.
Source: RNAcentral
UCGGGUAUGGUGUAACGGCUAACAUUGCCGCCUCUCAUUUACUUAGGAUCGCGGCAGCUCGGGGUUCGAUUCCCCGUACCCGAA